This 493-nucleotide ribosomal RNA is filed under the name uncultured bacterium. Its description in RNAcentral is "bacterial SSU rRNA". It matches the Rfam family "Bacterial small subunit ribosomal RNA", at positions 29 to 518 of the family's 1533-position model. The record is from RNAcentral.
AUGAACGCUAGCGGCAGGCUAACACAUGCAAGUCGAGGGGCAUCGGGAGUAGCAAUACUGCCGGCGACCGGCGCAAGGGUGCGGUAACGCGUGAGCAACAUGCCCGUAUCAGGGGGAUAAUCCAUGGAAACGUGGUCUAAUACCCCAUAGUAAUUAUGUAAGGCAUCUUAUAUAAUUUAAAGCUUUGGUGGAUACGGAUUGGCUCGCGUGACACUAGCUAGAUGGUAAGGUAACGGCUUACCAUGGCUACGAUGUCUAGGGGUUCUGAGAGGAAGGUCCCCCACACUGGAACUGAGACACGGUCCAGACUCCUACGGGAGGCAGCAGUGAGGAAUAUUGGACAAUGGAUGGAAAUCUGAUCCAGCCAUGCCGCGUGCAGGAAGACGGCCCUAUGGGUUGUAAACUGCUUUUGUAUGGGAGCAAUAAGGGCUACGCGUAGUCCGAUGAGAGUACCAUACGAAUAAGCACCGGCUAACUCCGUGCCAGCCGCGGC